Molecule: long non-coding RNA, 453 nt
Organism: Hyla sarda
Lineage: Eukaryota; Metazoa; Chordata; Amphibia; Anura; Hylidae
Exons: 3
Source: RefSeq, a predicted model, not a curated record
GGGAUUUUCACUGCAGCAUAUCUCACAAACUGGAGAGGUCAGACAAAUAAUGAAAAGUGCUGUGUGAUGAUGGAGGCAAGGUCUACAUUGUGGCAGUGUUUGAUAUAGCAGCAGGGAGGAGUCAAUUACACACCAGCACAAAGAAAGGAGAGUAGGAGUAGAAACCUUGGAGGACAACUCAAAAAGGCAAAAGAAAAAACGAGAACACACAAAGGACAGAUUGCAGGAAUCUGCUGGUUGCCCUUGGAAACAGACAGCGGUAGUUUAUCUUCACUCUGCAGUCAGCUAACAGUUUAGCCCUAACAGUGAUGUUGCAUAUGAGCUCCCGCAAUACACUUCUUGCUGAUAACAGAGAACUUGCAGGAUUCUGUAUUUAGCUUUACAAGAAACAAAAGACUUUAAAAAACAAAAAAGUACUUUAUCCACCCAUAUGUGUGCCACAUUUCAACUUAU